Molecule: ribosomal RNA, 306 nt
Filed under: uncultured bacterium
Lineage: Bacteria
Description: bacterial SSU rRNA
Rfam family: Bacterial small subunit ribosomal RNA
Source: RNAcentral
GAUGAACGCUAGCGGCAGGCUUAAUACAUGCAAGUCGAACGGUAAGGUCUCUUCGGAGAUACACGAGUGGCGCACGGGUGAGGAACACGUACACAAUCUACCUUAUACUGGAGGAUACGCCCCGGGAAACUGGGAUUAAUACUCCAUAGUCUUUAGUAUUCGCAUGAAUAUUUAAUUAAAGAUUUAUCGGUAAAAGAUGGCUAUGCGUCCUAUUAGUUAGUUGGUAAGGUAAUGGCUUACCAAGACUUUGAUAGGUAGGGGUCCUGAGAGGGAUAUCCCCCACACUGGUACUGAGACACGGACCAG